CCUACGGGAGGCAGCAGUGGGGAAUAUUGCACAAUGGGGGAAACCCUGAUGCAGCGACGCCGCGUGAGCGAAGAAGUAUUUCGGUAUGUAAAGCUCUAUCAGCAGGGAAGAAAAUGACGGUACCUGAGUAAUAAGCUCCGGCUAAAUACGUGCCAGCAGCCGCGGUAAUACGUAGGGAGCAAGCGUUAUCCGGAUUGACUGGGUGUAAAGGGAGCGCAGGCGGCCGUGCAAGUCUGAUGUGAAAUCCCGGGGCUCAACCCCGGAGCUGCAUUGGAAACUGUGAGGCUGGAGUGUCGUAGAGGGAGGCGGAAUUCCGAGUGUAGCGGUGAAAUGCGUAGAUAUGAGGAGGAACACCAGUGGCGAAGGCGGCCUGCUGGACGAUGACUGACGCUGAGGCUCGAAAGCGUGGGGAGCAAACAGGAUUAGAUACCCUGGUAGUC
RNAcentral lists this ribosomal RNA (440 nucleotides) under uncultured bacterium. Its description in RNAcentral is "partial 16S ribosomal RNA". It matches the Rfam family "Bacterial small subunit ribosomal RNA", at positions 338 to 795 of the family's 1533-position model. The record is from RNAcentral.